Molecule: long non-coding RNA, 1185 nt
Organism: Sardina pilchardus (European sardine)
Lineage: Eukaryota; Metazoa; Chordata; Actinopteri; Clupeiformes; Clupeidae
Exons: 2
Source: RefSeq, a predicted model, not a curated record
UUAAACCGCACCGUCAGAAAAUUUCUAAUUGUUCAUACGCAAAGGAUUGUGGGUUAUUUCUUCACUCCGAGGAUCCAUCGAUGCAUCCUCCAAAAUUCUCCGAAAUUCUCAGAACGAAGGACUCAGUACUUGCUAGAAUUUGAAAGCAUCCUUGACUUUGGAACAGUGCUUGACGAGAUUUGAUGACGUAACGUCCUUGAAAAAGUGGCUUGGAAGGAGCAAUCCUUGACUUUGAGAAGCACCCUCUAUGUACCCUAGCAGCACUAGCAACCAUCUUCAUUUCCCUAGCAACAACCUAGUAACCCCCAUUUUUGAAUCACAGGCCACCAGUUCACACCUGAUCACAUGCCCUGUAAUUGCAAUCAGCAGAAACCAAUUAGCUAAUUAGACUCAGACUGAGAAGUUGUACCUUUAAAAGCCCAGCUUGAUCUUUCAGGGGAUGAACUGAGGAAGAGCUAAAGCUGCUUUUGGAGCUUUGACUGAAGCCAGCAUAAUGUUCAGGUUUAUUUGUGUCUGCCUCUUCUUCUUAAGUGAAGUAAGCAGUUACCAACAAGACUGGGGUGGUGUCAAAGGAGGACGGACGCCAAGUUCCAUGUCAAGCGACGCUUGGAAGCCCUCAUAUCAGAUGAGCCAGGAAGGUCCAUCCCAAACCCCGGAGAAGCCAGUGUGGCGCUCCUUUCAGCAUGCUCAGGAGGAGCAGUCCGUCCGCCAGCCAGCCAAUACUCCCCCAGCCCCAGUGAAGCAGGAGUCGGUCCGGGCGCCUGAACCUACACCUAGCCGUACUGGUGCUCCUGUGGGUUCCUCAUCAGCAGGAGAACGCUACCUUGUUAUAUCUCAGCCAUCAGGUUUUCAAAGCCGCUAUGUGGUCAAGUCAUUUAACCGUUAUGUACGAGGAGAAAAGAUCUUUUCCCAAACCACCUACACCCCACUGGACUAUCCUUCAAGUGAGCCUGCUGCUGAACCUGCUCCUGAACCUGUUCCCGAGCCUGCUCCCGUCCCCAGUUUUCCUGGACGUUACAUGUAUGCCCAGACUGUAGAGGCCUAUCCUGCCAAACGCAGGUUUUGAUUGCGCGUAUGCUUGGCUGUUCGUGACUUAACACAUUUCUCCUUACAGAAAAGCAUGAAUGUGCUGUGUAAGUAUGCCCCCCCAUGUAGACUCUUGUUAAAACAAUAAAAAACUUCUCU